This 502-nucleotide ribosomal RNA is filed under the name uncultured bacterium. Its description in RNAcentral is "partial 16S ribosomal RNA". It matches the Rfam family "Bacterial small subunit ribosomal RNA", at positions 28 to 523 of the family's 1533-position model. The record is from RNAcentral.
GAUGAACGCUAGCGGCAGGCUUAAUACAUGCAAGUCGAGGGGCAGCAUAGUGUAGCAAUACAUGGGUGGCGACCGGCAAACGGGUGCGGAACACGUACAGAACCUUCCUUCGAGCGGGGAAUAGCCCAGAGAAAUUUGGAUUAAUACCCCAUAGGAUAGUGGAGUGGCAUCACUCAGCUAUUAAAGAUUUAUCACUUGAAGAUGGCUGUGAGUCUGAUUAGGUAGUUGGUGGGGUAACGGCCCACCAAGCCAGCGAUCAGUAACUGGUGUGAGAGCACGACCAGUCACACGGGCACUGAGACACGGGCCCGACUCCUACGGGAGGCAGCAGUAAGGAAUAUUGGUCAAUGGACGCGAGUCUGAACCAGCCAUGCCGCGUGGAGGAUGAAGGUCCUCUGGAUUGUAAACUUCUUUUAUCUGGGACCAAAAAAGGCCUUUCCAGGUCGUCUGACGGUACCAGAUGAAUAAGCUCCGGCUAACUCCGUGCCAGCCGCCGCCGUAA